GGGGGGGGGGGGGGGGGGGGGGGGGGGGGGGGGGUGGGGGGGGCGGGGCGGGGGUGGGGGGGGUGCGGGGGGGGCGCCCGGGUGGGUAGCGCGGGAGGGCCCUGCCCGUGACUGUUGUAGAAGUUCGGGCACGUGGUGCGCCUACCGGGUACGCGCUCCGUCUGCCCGGUGGUGUGUGGACAUUUUCGGCGGUCGGGUAUGGACUCGCGGCUUAUCAGCUUGUUGGUGGGGUAGUGGCUUACCAAGGCUUUGACGGGUAGCCGGCCUGAGAGGGUGACCGGCCACAUUGGGACUGAGAUACGGCCCAGACUCCUACGGGAGGCAGCAGUGGGGAAUAUUGCACAAUGGGCGGAAGCCUGAUGCAGCAACGCCGCGUGCGGGAUGACGGCCUUCGGGUUGUAAACCGCUUUCGCCUGUGACGAAGCGUGAGUGACGGUAAUGGGUAAAGAAGCACCGGCUAACUACGUG
This 468-nucleotide ribosomal RNA is filed under the name uncultured bacterium. RNAcentral's name for it is "partial 16S ribosomal RNA". The stretch from base 48 to 468 matches the Rfam family "Bacterial small subunit ribosomal RNA", at positions 39 to 507 of the family's 1533-position model. The record is from RNAcentral.